Non-coding RNA from Coturnix japonica (Japanese quail), 697 nucleotides. NCBI's taxonomy places the organism in Eukaryota, Metazoa, Chordata, Aves, Galliformes, Phasianidae. The record is from RefSeq and is a predicted model, not a curated record.
CAGUGGAAAUUUCCUCUAGGAAGCAGCUUUGUUUCGAAGUUCAGACGGAUUAAAACGACGCUAAAACGUGCUGGCGGGACGGGGAGCCCCGCCCGGAGGCAUUUUGUUCUGGGGGUGUUGCGGGGACUUUCUUCUUUCUCAUUAUUUUUAUUUCGAUUUGUUAUGUUUUUCAUUUAUUUCCCGCUUCGGUGCCGAGCCUCACGUUGAGACGUGACGUGAAGAAUGGAGCGUGGAAAAGCGGGCGGUAAAUGCCGAGCUUAGAGGCUCCUUCAGAGCCGAGAGAUGUUCCUUCACUCCUCAGUUUCCCAGGAGGGAGAACCUGAACGGGAGCCGGGCAGAAAGCCCUUCUUCCCACAUGACUCCAAUACUAAAUGGGACGAGCCACAAAAAAGGCAGCCUUGCUUUCAGGCAGCAAUACGUUGCUAUUGAAGAAAUGUGCACAGCUCUAGGAGAGCUUAUUUUAGCCGUCAGGAGAGCGAGGAGAACCCUGUGCCGUCAAGCUGAGGGUGCCGAUUUCGCAUAUUUGCGGUGAGAGAAGCGGAGCAUUGGGAAGCGGCAGAAAAAAUGGGGGGAAAGGAAUACAGAUGACAGCUCCCGCCGGGAAGCGAAUCAAAGUUAUAGAGUGGAAACGUGCGGCUAUCACGGGCUGCUCUUCAGCGAGCGGUUGGAAACCAUAAACAUAUAAAUACAGAACUAA